GACAGAGGCCUCAAGCGUUAUUCGGAAUCACUGGGCUUAAAGCGUGUGUAGGCGGAUCGUUAAUUGUCUUGUGAAAUCCCACGGCUCACCCGUGGAACGGCUGGGCAUACUGGCGAUCUUGGGCCAACUAGGGGCAACUGGAACAAGCGGUGGAGCGGUGAAAUGCGUAGAUAUCGCUUGGAACGCCAAAGGUGAAAACAGGUUGCUGGGGUUGUGCCGACGCUGAGACACGAAAGCCAGGGGAGCAAACGGG
RNAcentral lists this ribosomal RNA (253 nucleotides) under uncultured bacterium. Its description in RNAcentral is "partial 16S ribosomal RNA". It matches the Rfam family "Bacterial small subunit ribosomal RNA", at positions 524 to 776 of the family's 1533-position model. The record is from RNAcentral.